ACGCAAUCUACCCUUCACUGGGGAAUAGCCCGAAGAAAUUCGGAUUAAUACCCCAUAAAAUGGCAAGUAGGCAUCUGCUAACCAUUAAAGUUCCGGCGGUGAAGGAUGAGCGUGCGUCCCAUUAGGUAGUUGGUAGGGUAACGGCCUACCAAGCCGACGAUGGGUAGCUGGUGUGAGAGCACGACCAGCCACACGGGCACUGAGACACGGGCCCGACUCCUACGGGAGGCAGCAGUGAGGAAUAUUGGUCAAUGGACGAAAGUCUGAACCAGCCAUGCCGCGUGGAGGAUGAAGGCCCUCUGGGUUGUAAACUUCUUUUAUCAGGGAAGAGAAGUACUAUUUCUAUGGUAUCCGACGGUACCUGAUGAAUAAGCACCGGCUAACUCCGUGCCAGCAGCCGCGGUAAUACGGAGGGUGCAAGCGUUAUCCGGAUUUACUGGGUUUAAAGGGUGUGUAGGCGGACUUUUAAGUCAGAGGUGAAAUCUCCGAGCUCAACUCGGAAACUGCCCCUGAUACUAUUGGUCUUGAAUAUCGUUGAGGCAGGCGGAAUACAUCAUGUAGCGGUGAAAUGCUUAGAUAUGAUGUAGAACACCGAUUGCGAAGGCAGCUUGCUAAACGAUCAUUGACGCUGAGGCACGAAAGCGUGGGGAUCAAACAGGAUUAGAUACCCUGG
Molecule: ribosomal RNA, 673 nt
Filed under: uncultured bacterium
Lineage: Bacteria
Description: bacterial SSU rRNA
Rfam family: Bacterial small subunit ribosomal RNA
Source: RNAcentral